Peromyscus californicus insignis is the source of this 11764-nucleotide RNA transcript. It is a transcript of the gene named tubulin tyrosine ligase like 7, with no coding region annotated. Lineage: Eukaryota; Metazoa; Chordata; Mammalia; Rodentia; Cricetidae. The transcript is spliced from 29 exons. The record is from RefSeq and is a predicted model, not a curated record.
CUUGCACGGCGCGCACCCCUGGGCGCAGCGGGCGAAUGGUCUGGCCCGUUGGUAGCCGACACCCCUUGGGCACGACAGCUGCUCCAGCUGCUCCUGGUCGGGUUGAGCUUCUGAGCUCUGAGCCGUGGCUGCCCCGGGCGGUGGGCGAGCUGAGGGGAUCUCAGGGCCACCCGCAAGGGGCCGACGGGGAGCUGCCAGCCGUGGGUAGGGAGUGUGGGCCACCAAGGGACCGGUCACUGGAGCCACCCGGCGAGGUGCCGAAGCUGUUUUAAAGUGAUUGGUAGAGAUUUGAGAAGAAGAGCUGGGAGGAGUUCUCGGGCAUUGAUGUUUGGACUGUUCUGAUUUCUGGUAGCUUCCUAGCCCAAAACUUGUGCCGUGAAAUCUGAGACUUUGACCCAGAUAAUAUGAUAUGAACUUCCUGUGAGUUGGGGCCAUAUCCUACUUAGAUGAACGUGGGAUUUUCAGAUUUACUGAGAACUUGGUACUGUACACACGUUUCUUGCUCAUUUGGCAAAGGUGACCAUGCCAUCUCUGCCUCAAGAAGGGGUUAUUCAGGGAUCCUCUGCCCUGGAGCUGAAUACAGAGUUACCUUAUCAAUGCACAAUGAAAAGGAAAGUCAGAAAAAAGAAAAAGAAGGGAGUCAUUACAGCAAAUGUUGCUGGGACAAAGUUUGAAAUUGUUCGUUUAGUGAUAGAUGAAAUGGGAUUUAUAAAAACUCCAGAUGAAGAUGAAACAAGUAAUCUUAUAUGGUGUGAUGCUGCCGUUCAGCAGGAGAAGAUCACAGAGCUACAGAACUACCAGAGGAUCAACCAUUUUCCAGGAAUGGGGGAGAUCUGUAGGAAGGAUUUCUUAGCAAGAAAUAUGACCAAAAUGAUCAAGUCUCGCCCCCUGGAUUAUACUUUUGUUCCUCGAACGUGGAUUUUCCCUUCUGAAUAUACUCAAUUCCAAAACUAUGUGAAAGAAUUGAAGAAAAAAAGGAAGCAGAAAACUUUUAUAAUAAAACCAGCUAAUGGUGCAAUGGGUCAUGGGAUUUCAUUGAUAAGAAAUGGGGAUAAAAUUCCAUCUCAGGAUCAUUUGAUAGUUCAAGAAUACAUUGAAAAGCCUUUCCUAAUGGAAGGCUACAAGUUUGAUUUACGGAUUUAUAUUUUGGUUACAUCCUGUGAUCCAUUAAAGAUAUUUCUCUACCAUGAUGGGCUUGUGCGAAUGGGGACAGAGAAGUACAUCCCACCAAAUGAGUCCAACUUGACCCAGUUAUACAUGCAUCUGACCAACUACUCUGUGAACAAACAUAAUGAGCGGUUCGAACGCAAUGAAACCGAAGACAAAGGCAGCAAACGUUCAAUCAAGUGGUUUACAGAAUUCCUACAGGCCAAUCAACAUGAUGUUUCUAAAUUCUGGAAUGAUAUUUCAGAAUUGGUGGUAAAGACGUUGAUUGUAGCGGAACCUCAUGUUCUGCAUGCAUAUCGGAUGUGCAGACCUGGUCAGCCGCCAGGAAGCCAAAGCGUCUGCUUCGAAGUCCUGGGGUUCGACAUCUUGUUGGAUAGAAAGCUAAAGCCGUGGCUUCUGGAGAUUAAUCGAGCCCCAAGCUUUGGAACUGAUCAGAAAAUAGAUUAUGAUGUGAAAAGGGGAGUUCUGCUAAAUGCGCUGAAGCUACUGAACAUCAGGACCAGUGAUAAAAGGAAAAAUUUGGCCAAACAAAAAGCUGAGGCUCAAAGGAGGCUGUAUGGUCAAAAUCCAAUAAAGAAGAUUUCACCAGGCUCCUCCGACUGGGAACAGCAGAGGCACCAGCUCGAGAGGCGGAAAGAAGAGUUGAAAGAGAGACUCGUUCAAGUACGAAAGCAGGUUUCGCGAGAAGAACACGAAAACCGACACAUGGGGAAUUACAGGAGAAUUUAUCCUCCUGAAGAUAAAACACUGCUCGAAAAGUAUGAAAGUUUGCUGGCUGUUGCAUUCCAGACAUUCCUUUCAGGAAGAGCAGCUUCGUUCCAGCGAGAACUGAACAAUCCUCUGAAAAAGAUGAAGGAGGAAGAUAUUUUGGAUCUCUUGGAACAAUGUGAAAUAGACGAUGAAAAGUUGAUGGGAAAAACUACCAGAAUUCGAGGACCAAAGCCCCUGUGCUGCAUGCCUGAGUAUGCGGAGGUAAUGAAGAAGCAGAAGUGUUACAACAGCAGCGAAAGCAGCUAUGACAGCAGCAGCAGCAGCAGCAAUUCCGAAGUGGAUGAGAAUGAAAAAGAACUGUGUCAGAAGAGACGAGAACAAGCCCCGUAUACCCUUAAACACACCAGUCACUGCAAACUAAUUCAACAAUCCAAUUCCAUGAGGCGUUCGGUCAGCUGCCCUCGGUCCAUCUCUGCUCACUUACCUUCCAGUGGGGAUGCACGCCCCUUUUCUUCUCAACAAGUGAUACCAUUAGCGCGACCAACUUCAGCAUCUCGGUCACAUUCCUUAAACCGUGCUUCCCCCUACAUGAGACACCUGCCUAACAGUAACGAUGCCAGCUCUACCAACUCUGUGGUGAAUGAGUCUUUGCGGCAAUUGAAAACAAAAGAACAGGAAGAUGACCUCACAAGUCAGACCUUGUUUGUUCUCAAGGACAUGAGGAUCCGCUUUCCAGGGAAGUCAGACGCAGAGUCAGAGCUUCUGAUAGAAGAUAUCAUGGAUAACUGGAAGCAUUAUAAAACAAAAGUGGCUUCAUAUUGGCUCAUAAAAUUGGACUCCACAAAACAACGGAAAGUUUUAGACAUAGUAAAAUCAAGUGUCCGUACAGUUCUUCCAAGGAUCUGGAGGGUGCCUGAUGCUGAAGAAGUGAGUUUAUACCGGAUUUUCAACCGGGUGUUUAAUCGCUUACUCUGGAGUCAUGGCCAAGGUCUAUGGAGUUGUUUCUGUGAUUCAGGAACUUCUUGGGAGAGCAUCUUCAGUAAGAGCCCAGAGGUGGUGACUCCUCUGCAGCUGCAGUGUUGCCAGCGCCUGGUGGAGCUCUGCAAGCAGUGCCUGCUGGUGGUUUACAGGUACACCACUGAAACAAGAGGGCCGAUCACAGGCAUUGGUCCCGACUGGGGCAACUCCAGGCAUCUGGUGAGCUCACUGAGUUUAAACCACAUGGCCAGGAUGCUGACCAGGAACUGCAUGAAGGGAUAAAGUACAUCCCGUCAGGAGCAGAUGGAAGAUGUUAGAGGACAUCACAUCAAAGGACACCUGCACUGAGAAGAGAGUAAGCAGCAGAGGGGCAUCCUUCUCCCUGUGCCAAUGAACUACUCCGCAGGUCUGCAUCUCCUUGCUGAUCACAAAAGGAAGGUAAGAGUUUGGAAUUCUUUGAAGAACCCUAGGCUGCCUUCUGCCAACAGAAGUCUUCAUUUGUUUCCUGAUGACAUCAGUAGAAACAUGUCUAGUGUUUAAACUUGCUUUUAAUGUCAAUUGGCCACAAAUUAGAGUCACCUGAAUAGGGAUUGCCACUCCAAAAACUGUCUUAAUUACCUUAGCUGAUGUGGGAAGAUUGACCCCAAAUGUGAACAGUAUGUCCUGGUAGCAGCCCCGAUGAAAAAGUUUGCCUUUUGCUGGCUUGGCCUUCCCUCUCAUCACCAAGCUGCUCUAUCCUCCUGCUUGCUGGGUCUGAUUCCUUUGCUAAUAUCAGAACAAGAAUUCCUAGGCUUCCACUGUUGACUGAGGAGCAACAGCUUUCCAGGAACCUUCCGUGUUUCAGGGACCAUGUUGGGACUGCUGAGGCACCCAGCCUCAAGGACUGAGCAACUACUGGUUUAGCAACAACUCAGCCUCUCAGCUGUUGUUACUGAAAAAUGAAAGUCAGAGCCUUGUAUCUCAUUGCCUGGGUGAACCUUAGGGUCCUGCCUGCCUUCCAACUCAGCUCCUCUUCCUUUUCCUUCGCCACUGUACUUCAACUGCACGGACCUCUGAUGCUUCCCAUCUUGCAGAACUCAAGGGCAUUUUUUCACAGCAACAGAAAAACAAUUAGAACAGCUUGCAUGCUAGUUCUGUUCUCUGCUCAUAUACAGACCAGGAUCUUCUACCUAGAGGAUGGUUUUACCCACAGUGGCAUGGACAUUUCAUUUGCUUACCACUGUUUGAUGCCUGUCAUCAAAACUGCUUGCCAGAAGCAAAUGGAAGAAGUGAAAUCUACAGAGGAGUAAGGAUUGGAGAAGGCACGCAGUGAAGGCAUGCAGCUGUGAACAACAUCUGACUUCCAAGCUCAAGAGGUCAACAGUACAGGCUCUCAAGCAGUGCAGACUCCACUCUUGCUGUGAAUUUCUCCAUCUCUACAUGCUGGAUUGUAGACGAAUUUCUAAGCGGUCUUAUUAAAUAAAAAACACGGAGCCAGAAAUAGGGGUGAAAAUCUGACAGAGAUCAGAAGAAUUGGAACAGCCACCAGCUAACCUUACCUCACCUCGCUGCAGCUUCCAAAGACAAAGAAAGAAACCACGUCACAAGUCUGAGAUUCAGCACACUGGCACUUUAGAGGAGCAGGACUUAUGUGCCAGUGUUGUCUACUAACUGUUCCCCAACGGACCGUCUAUGAAGGCCCGGGAGGCCUAGGGAGAUUAUUUUUGUUGCUCUACAGGUCAAAUGAAGAGUAAAUCAAUGUGGCUCCCUACAGUUUCCACUUAAUGGUGGAGACACUGGAUGAUAUAGGAAUAAGUGAGAUUGCAAGCUCUGGAGUUGAAUUAUCUGGGCUUGAAUCCUCUCUGUGCAAAGUGGGGCAUGCCACUUCCUUUGUGUUUAGUCUUUCUCAUGUGUCACGAGGACAGGAUGACAUCACAUGGGUUAUUAUGAAGAUUAAAUGAGGAAUUGUGUACAAGAGGAUUAACAGAGUGCCUGUUCCACAGUAAGUGCUGCAGAAGAGAAAGCUAAAUCGGACUAAUAGCAGCUCCUUCUAAUGAUUACAGCUGCGCCAUAGUUAUUCAUCUUCCUAUUCUUCAGAGCAGGUUAUCAUGACAUUUUUCCAUUAUAAAUAAAACAGUGUUAAAUAGAAUUGACCAGCUUUUUUUUUUGAAGCAGUCUUGAUACAUAGACAUGAAAUAGCUCAAAGAUGCUCUUGAAAUGGGUAAAACCAUGCUUUCAAGAGUUUUGAGAUUCAACUUCACACAAUCUAUGCUUCAGCUAUGUACAGCUUCAAGCAUACACAUGUUAUGUGUCUCUCUGUGAACUUUCGAGUAACAGUGAGCAUGUCGUCUGGGUAUCGUCCUUCUCUGGGGACUUGGAGGCCUAGAGCACUGGUUUUCAGGUGACUUUUGUUUAGAACUGAAUGUCAGGGCUGUGCAUCCACAUAUCUGAGGCUUAGCACCCCAAGCUGAAACUCUGCUGUCACUUACAAGCUGUGUGACCUUCAACUAGCCUGGGACUCAUUUUCCUCAACUGCAUAUUGCAGGGUGGAAAUUCUCACCUGUAUUUGGGGUAUAAGUUGUAUUCAAUGGAAAUCGCUCUUGUCCAAGUACAAAAACGCAAGAAUACAAUGCUAGCUAGUCCUAGGACUGUGAGCCUCCUUCUCUCCUUGUAAAUGAAGGUCGUUGCAGCUUUAUGAUUGCAUGGCUCCAUGGGUGUCAAGUAUCUCCAGCUCCUGGCAGGUGGCACAGAAUGCACAAUUGGUGGAUGUCCCCUAAGGAGAGGCAUUUGACAGAAGUGCCUCACGAGUCCUGUUUCAAGCAAGAACCAUCAUCAUCUCUAGUGUCCACACUAUCCUGGGAGAGUCCCUGGGGUUUCUACUGGGACAGUGAAAGCCCAAGUGAAGGGUUUCCCUUGUCUGAAUGUUUGCUAGACUGUUUCUUGGCAUUUUCCGGCUUCCAUUCUUUCUUCAGUCCUGGUAUUUUUUUUUCAUCCAAAAAGACGCAUGUAUCAUCCAGGUAUCAACUUAGGGCUGGAGUCUAAAGUCUUCUCUUACCUGAAGUUCAUGGUGCACUUGCCAUGUAGCAGAGUCUGCAGACAGCUUAGUGGGUGUUUUUAUAGUCAGUGUUAAAGAAAAACAAAAACAACACCACCAAACAUAACAAAAAAAGAAAGAAAGAAAAGGAAAAGAAGAAAAAUUUCCACACAACUGAUAGUUUUCCUUAUUGCUUUGACUGUUGGCAAAGACAAGCGCCUAGGGAGAUUGACUGCCUUGAAAGUUUCAUUAUUCUGCAAGAAUAUUUUUGAUGUGAUUUCAACAGCUCCUGACUGACUGUCAGCCUCACCGUGUGGCUUUUAAAAGUCCUUCCUCACCCCUCCAAUCACUGAUCCUAAAACUUACAAGAGCAUUCAGGUCAGUUGUUGAGUACCCGAGUCUUUCCAAGUAAUUAGCAGGUAGAAAUACCAGGUAGCAGGCGGUGUUUGCUUGUAAUCUGUCAAUAGGAGCUGCAAUGGGGGAAAUUGUCGUUUCGAGUGGCCUUGCAACCACAUCUAAUUUAGAGUGUCAAUAGAGUUUGUUUCUGUCUUUUGCUCCCACUGCCAGACUGUGAAUUUUCCCUUUAGAAAUCUUGUCUCAAAGUAAGAUAGGUAUUCAAAAGGGAUGAACUUCAAGGGAAACUAUUCCUCAGCCACUACAAGCUACGUAGGAACACUUAGGCCUCCUUUCUUUAUCCCGUACUGUGGCUGCAUUCUUUAUAACAGUGGUAUAGUCAAGACAUUUGUCUAAGUCCAAGAUUAGGCAGCCCUGCCCAAAGCAGUGAAGGGACACUGUGCCAGCUGAACCAGAGGUGAGGCUAGGGAGAGCAACAGGAAAGUCUGUUGCCUGGUGUUGGGUUCCAGAAGGCUGCAUACUAAUUCACAGAUGGCGUGGGGAGAUGCCUUCCCCUGCCAUUUGAAUCAUUUAGGUUAACUCCCAUGCUUCCUAAGGAUAAAAGGCAAUCUAAGAAGACACUGGUGUCAGAUGGUGCCCAACCAUUUCUUCAGGUACUUCAACUGAUGCAAUUGAAUAAAGGUUGUGGAUAAGAAGCAGAUAUAAGGUUAACCAGGACUUGUAUUCCUAAAGAUUUAAAUCAAGUUGAAUCCUAAAGGGGGUGUGGAUUCAACAGCUGGUACCCAGCAUUAGUUCUGAAUGUCUAUCUUAUCAAGAUAAACACAUUUUUCUUUCCAGGCAAAAGAAGCCUUAGGGUGGGCAGUAGGACUGGGUACAUUAAUAACCAAUGCAAAACUGGUAGCACAUUUUAAUUCUAAUAUGAAUCAGCUUUUUCUUGCUGAGUACACCAAAGAAUGAGCAGAGAAGGCUGUUUUUAACAUUGCACUAUACUGCCAUUCAAUAUCAGUUUGGCUUUAUAAGGUCAUCCCAUAAAAGGAGAAUCACAUUUGAGAAAGAAAACCCACUAGAACAUUCCCUCUAUGACAUUCAGAUUCUAAGACACAUGUUCUUCAGCUCUAUUCCUUGUACUAGACAGCCAUUUGUAAAUAUAUAGGUGAUCCUUACAACUUCGGACCCAAAGAAUAGUCCCUGUGCUGUAAACCCAUCCAUGAUAUAACGGAACCCCAUUUCAUCAGUUCCCACUCUGAUGGGGAUUUUUGACAAAUUCUGUGGCAACCUGACAUAUGUGUCAUAAUGUCUAAUCCCUUUAAGCUCCCCAAAGCUCCCAGGAAGUGGAUGAUUUCAAAGAACAGACUAGAAAAAAAUGGUUCUCGUAUUGAACCUAUUUCUUCCAUGUCUAGGAAGAUCCUCAAUCUCUCCCUUCUGCACCAGAAAAGGAUGGGCAAGGUGUAAAUCUGGGCAUUGAAACAGUAAUAGGAAAGCUGGCGCUAGCAGGCAUUUCCUUGCAGCUGAAACAGUAAAGGUGGAAAGAGGUGAACUUACAGGAGCUUGCAUCUCCCCACCUGAAACCUGAAGCCCUGCCCACCAACUUUUUCAGAACACUGUGCCAGCUGCACUGUUCUGUGGUAACAGGCAUGUAUGUCUGAGUUCAAGUACAUUAGGAAUCAGAGUCUGGGAAGGAGAGAGAGGAAAGUGGGGAGCUUCUAAUAACAGAAAUAAGUGCUGCCCCUCCUUAACCUGCUCUGUGCUUUUGAGCUCAGGCCUGCAUUUCUUAACUGCACAAAUCCACACUUGGUGUGCGGCAUGGAGCCAGGCUCAGUGGAGGCCGGGAGGUGCUUUCAUGGAGCUCUGACACCCUUGGAAUUGUGCACAGUUGUGAGGUUUGCUUCUCAGACAUUUGGACAGCUGCCAUGAGGAAGGGAGGGAGGAAAUUGGGCCAGUUUGCAUUCUGUUACAGACCAGCCUUUUGGAUGACAGAAUUCUUUCCAAUCAAAAUGCCAUGGAUUACUCCCUGCUGUGAGCUAAUAGGGUGCUAAUUAGCAUAUUUCAUUUAUUUACUUAACUGGGGUAGAAACCAUUGGGCACGUGGCCCACUUAGAAUGGUUUCCUGGGGGAAGUCAUGAGAUGCUCUAAGCACUGCUUUCCUAUACAUUGUGGAAACCAGUUCACAGCAGCACAAUGUCCCCUCAUUUCUCUUCUCUCUUUCACACCUCUCUUUUCUACACACACACACACACACACACACACACACACACACACACACACACAGAGAGAGAGAGAGAGAGACAGAGAGACAGAGACAGAGACAGAGACAGAGACAGAGACAGAGACAAAGACAGAGGGAGGCUGGGUCUUGCUUCAAUAAGAACCUAAAACGAAAAGCGAAAUUGCCCUGCCCCUUCCUGGUGUUCAUCCACAUUGAUGCUUUACUGACAGCUGUCUGGAUCCUCUGGACUUGCCUCUCACUUGUAGCAAUGACUCUAGGUCAUUGGUGGAGGUGCAUACCUCACUGUCUCCACAUCAUUCACUCUCUCUUGAAGACUAUGAAUGGACUCUCAUGACAAUGAGGUGGUUGCUGGGUUCCUUGGCCCUCUCUGGACUACUUCCUGGGGAAUCUUAAACCCCAUUUGCCAUCAUUUCCUCCUCAUUUGUGGAAGAAAGCACUUGAAAAUUCUCAUACUGCCCUUGAGGACUUCUAGAUUCUUUGGAUUUCCAUGGCAGUUAAUCUCCCCAAUGGCAUAUUUUCAGUUUGUUCAGGGACAAAUCGUUAAAAGUGUUCAGUGAAACAAAGCAGCCAGAGCCCACUAAGCAAAGAGAAAUGGAUUCUAGUCCCCAAAUGCUUCCUGUGAUGCUUAGCCCAUGUGUUAAACAGCAGUAGCAAAACCAAAUGGCAGAAAAAUAGUCAGUAGUUUGCCUGAGUGGAUAGGAGACAACAUAUAUACAUACACACACACACACACAUACACACACACAUACACAUACACACACACAUACACAUACACACACACAUACACACACACACACAUACACACGCAACACACACACACACACACACACACACACACACACACACACACACACACACACACAACCAGCCUCAUACACUAAGAAUAUUCCUACAAUUUUUUAAGAAUAAAGAUGUGUAAAGUUCUCUUAUUUACUGAGGACUCAGUUAAUGACACCGUGGUGCUCUCAAUUAUUCAUUUCCAAGAUCUUUGGAGAAAACAUGACUAUUUCUUCUUACUCUGGCUAGUCACUGAGUUCUGUCAUUUCUACUUCCUGAUGCUACUCAACUCGGGCUUCUCUUCUCCUUUUUGCAUUGUCACUGUCUAGAUGAGUAACCUGCCACUCAGACCCUAGUCCUGCAGGAUGAGUUCCAAGGAUUGAGUAUCACCUGGUUCUUGCUAGAACCUCAGGGAUUUGGUGACUCCUGGAACUAAGGACAGAUGAGAAUACACUGGAAUAAACCCCCGGGUGAUUUUCUGCCUAUUAUAAUUCAAGGACACUGAGAUGACAACAUAGCUUGCCUCCUGACACGCUUCCCUCAUCUGUUUCUUCUCUGGCAGUGUCUUCCAUAUGCCACUCCUCACUGUGUGAAAUGUCUGCUGGGAAGUUAUCCUCUCUGCAACCCACAGCAUGGAACUCCAUAGCAUGUGUGAUGUAAGUUCACAUUGUCAGGUAGCCUCAGGAUACUACCUCCUCCCUUGCAGCUCGGGUCCUGAAAUCUUACCUAGGUAAUCAGGAAACGAAGAAAGGACAGGCACACAGACACAUGCAAUUUACAGAAAAUCUGGCAUCAGGUGGGCUGUGGGUACUCUGAUGGGAUGGCACCACCUCCGCAACCAUCCAGACCCCAGGACAUGUAGUAUGAAGGGCACAGGGGUGGCAGUUAGCUAGUGAGGGUAGGAGGUCUCCAUAGGGGAGCAGUCUCAGAGGACUGAAUUUCAUACACAUGGAUCAAUCACUCAUAAAUAUUUGCACUUGCCCACACUGCCAACAUUUAGAGAAUCCUUCACAAAUCCCAAGCCUGACCUGUAUGGGAAAGACUUUGCCACUCUCAUGGGUCCGAGGCAUCAGUCCUUGUCAGGACUGUGCCCAUAUCAAACAAUUUGAACCACUCAGGUCUUCAUCCACUCUUAUAUAUUGGGGCUUCCUCAGCUCCUCACAAGAUACAACUUUAGUUUUCUAUGCAGAAUAUUGUUUUUGUGUCAAGUUGAUUUUUUUUUCUAAUCUGUUCUACAUGGCCCCAGUCUCUUCAUGUUAUCUCAGACAUUUAGAAUUUGACUGUUGAUCAUGAUUUCUUUCUUUCUUUCUUUUUUUUUUUAAUGUCAAAUGCCGUUUAUUGAAGGAGGGAGGAGGUCUUAAAUACAGGCUUACAGCACAAUGGAGAACCCUGGAGGGCAGAAGUUUGCUACCGAUGUUUUAUAAUCUUGCAUCUAAGCUGUUAACGCCCAUUAUGCAGGAUACACAGACAAGGAACUUCCCUUAAGCAAUCAGGAGGGUGGAACCCAGCAGGGAAUUAGCAUAGGGAGGAUAUCAAGGUCAAGGUCAGCAAGCAAGGCAACAGUUACCCAAAAUGGGGACCAGGGCCCUACAGGUCCCCCUUUUACUAAAAAAUGAGCUUCUGACUUAGGUUGCGUGGGAUGUCAGCAGGUCACCUUACCUGUCAUGGAGAUGUCUGCCCAGGCCACACAGGUGCUCUGUCUUAGGUUGGUGAGCGCCCCCCCAGGCAUUACCCGUCUCUGAGUACUCAUUAUCAUAUAGGCUCAAUCAUGUGUGAACUGCAGAGUUAACUGCUGCCAAAGAUCUCAAAGUGGCACUGGGCUUGCAAUCUGUGUGUUUGAUACAGAAAAGACCAAUAGAAGUCCUAACCCACCCAUAGCAAGUAGGCUAAAGCCAACUGAGCCAUUCCCUUCCUUAACAAGCCUUACUGCAAAUUGGAGUCCUCGUAAGAUGGUAUCCCAAAAGCAAAUGGAACUUGAGUUUAUAAAUUUAUAAUUUUCAAAGCCAAUCAAAUUUUCAAAGCAUUGGCACCAGAGACCACUUCCUAAAAAUAAUAACAAUAGCACAGACACUGAGCACAACAAUUAAUAAAUGGGACCUCUUGAAACUGAGAAGCUUUUGCAGGGCAAAAGACACGGUCAAUAAGACAAAAAGACAGCCUACAGAAAUGGAAAAGAUCUUCAACAACCCCACAUCUGACAGAGGAUUGAUCAUGAUUUCUUGUGCUUUGCUUUUUGGUGGCUGUAGUGGGUAGCCGCUCCAGCUUUGACCUGUAAGUACUACUCCCAGUGAGGCUUCCAGUAACUGUCACACCUACCUAUCACCUGCCUUUGAGGCAGGGCCAAGACAGGAGCCCUUAAGACCCAAGAUCUGGAUGUGCCGGCUCUCUUGGUUCCUGGUAAUCAUGGAUGCUGGAUGGUAGAUCAAGCAGAGUUCUCCAGAGAACACCACUGGACUGCACUUCACCUCUUCUGGAUCCUGUAACCUAUCCCUUUACUUGUUGUAAGUUACCCCAAAAUAAACCUUCCUUUUUAACUA